GCCAUCACGUAAUGCAAUUUUUAUUAAAUAAAAUUAAUACACAUUUAUUUUAUUAUGAAUCAUCCACAUACGGUAGUUUAAUUUUAUGCUGUGCACAAUGCAGAUAAAGAGUCGUGCAUCAUUUAAGACCAUUGAAAUCAUACAUUCAAAUCAUGUCUGUGUGGCUAAAAAGCUAAAUAAACAAGAACAGGCCUGUUGCAACAAACAAUCCAAUUGCCUUGGGCCCCAAGCUGGGCCCCAUGGGCCCCAGGACAAUGACAAACUCAGGACAAACUGUAUAAGCUGCCCCUUUAAAACGUUAUAUGUUUUAUGUAAAUACUUAAAUGCAAACAGUAAAGCAUUUGCACUUUCACAAAUGUAUUUUAUUGAUAGAAUGUUUUAGGGCAACUUCAACUUUUGAGUGAGCGUGGGGGAGGCUAUAAGUCAAUUUUGCCUUGGGCCCCCAAAUGUCUUGAAAUGGCCCUGGACAAGAACAUAAUAGAAACACACACAGCUUCAACUUAUGAAUUAUCUCUGGUUUUUGUAGAUUCAUUUAAGAUCAUUUGCAUUAGCAGUCACUAAAAUCUUUAUACCUGAGGCAAUUAUACAUGUGAUGAGCUGAAAUGCGACAUUUUAGUAGCUGAGAGUCAUCGCUAAGUCAAACUUUGAGCAUUAACUGGUCAUGUGAGAGCUUGCACAUAAAGAUUUAAUGAAAAAAACUCCGCCUGAAAAGUAAUAUCACCAGAAAGCAAACAGCACAGGACUCUGAUUAGCCUUUUAUCUUUGAUUAACAAGUUGUAUGCAUCUGCUUUACACUGACUGUGUAUGCUAACUCAUUUUCAUGCUCAUCAUUCCCCUUUCCUCCUAACAAUAACACUCAAUAUCUCCCUCAUCCACCUGCAGCGUGAACACUGCACAACUUUGAUCUGCUGCUGCUCAUCCUCCGUAUCUCUCCUCAAGCAGAAAACCAUUACAUACGCUUUAUUUAUAUGUGACAGAUGCACUUGUCAUUCAAAGGGAAGCUCAGAUCCUUGGCAAUCAAAGGUGCAGGAGAUGCCUCCAGAGCCUGCGUUAAUAUGCAUGAGAGAGGGAGCUGUCCGAUGAUGUAAUUGCAGCAGAAACGAAGAGAUGCAGCAGAUUUACAGAAACAGGACAGACUCAAUUCUUUGGGCAUGUCGGUCUCUGUAGGAAAAAGCUCUAGCGCUCCUGUUUCAGGAAGUAGAAAUGAGCCAGAUCAGAGGGAGCCAGUGAAGAUGUACCAGGACAGGAGUAAUGUGGCUACGUCGGUGUGUACUCGUCAACAACCUGGCAGCAGCGUUCUGGACGACCUGCAGCCGAUUCAGGGCGGAUACCGGAACACCAACGAGGAGGGCGUUUGCGUAGUCCAAGCGAGAGGUAACGAAGGCAUGGAUUUCUACGGAACAUUUUCUGCAAGAAAAGAUGUGUAUGUGUAAUAAAUGAACAAUUAGUAGGAAGUACAUUUACCUUCCAGUCACAUAUGAAACCUCAUCUACCAUAUUUAUUUGGUGCAUGUUUUGGGACACCUGUGCAACAUUUUACCCUGAGAUCAUCUCACAAUUCUGCUUACAUUACAAGCAUGCAGAAAACUUUCCAACCAAGCAGUAGCAUCAUCACUGAUUUGUGCGUUGAUUGUUGCCAGGAAACAUUUGAACAGAUUAAUGGCCCUGAAAUAUUCCCUGCUGCUCUGAAAGCUGCCUACAUGCAUUACAUAAGCAUUUCAUUUGUCCAGCAAAGACUAAAAUGUGAAGGCAACUCACACCGAUUGCUAACUAACACACACUGCAUUAUUCACACUAUUGUUUGCAGAACAUCACAAAUCACUUGCUUGUUCUGAUAAUUAUACCAUUCACAACAAUCAAAACUACCUAGAAUUAAUAUAAAAGGUGUGGUCAAGUCUUUAAUAGUCAAAAAGUUGUUGGUUUGUGCAGUUUUUCCUUUUUAUUUCAACAAUUAUGCUCAUCUGUCAUUGUCUGGGAAACAGAUUUUGGUUUUUGUUUAUAAUACAUCUGAUAUUUUUUAUUGUUAUUCACAUACAACACUUUCCGCUGUCUCUUACAAGCUACAAUGUGUGUUUUAUAAAUGAUUUAAUGGUCCCAACUCUGAAAAACCUCAUCCACACUAGAAAAGAACCUAUUUGGGUAAUAGGAGCUUUAAAUACAUACAAACUUGAUUGGUGUGGCAUUAAAAAGGUAGGUUUAUCAUCUGAUUCCUUUUAAAGGUUGCUGCCUCCCUGUGGAUGUUCCUCAAAAUAACACUGUUGCUAAAAUUCACUCAAUAUGUCCUCUUUGUGAUUGUAACUACCCAAAAAAUGUGAACAAACUAUAUGAAAGGUAAUCUAUAAUUUAAAAAAAAUUAAGAAAAAACAGCCACCUACUACUAUUAAAAUCAAAAUGUCAUUUUCACUGUAAUUAUUUGCCCUAUUCAGCACCCGCAUUAACAGAAUUACAAAAUAUUAGAGUGUCGAAUCACUCCAUUCUGUUUCUUUGUGUGCUGAACAAUACAGUCUGCUCAGCUGAGCUCUAGAUUAUCUCAACGUGUUGGGCAAAAUGCUCAGUCUCUACUUUCAGCUCACAGAUAAUGAUAUAACCAUGGCAACGCAGACACCACAUCUACGCUUUCCUGUGGACUUUUUGUUAAUAAACUGCAGAUAAACGAUGUUGUGUUCAGUGACCAUAAGUUAGUUUCCUUUCAUAUUAACCUAAAUUCUGAAUCUCUUUUACCAGACUCUGCCAAGCAAAGACGUAUUAUCAACAGUUCUACCAUUUUUAAUUUCUCCUCCCUCUUUGACUUUGUACCUCCUUCUGAUGACGUAGCUCCUUACUGACUCAUUUCAUGAUCACUGCCUCAAAAUUCUAGAUCAGGUUGCCCCACACAAAACCAGCCGCAGUUCCCGUGCCACCAGUUCACCUUGGCUGAACAACCAGAUUCUUGAUCUUAAACGCUCCUGUAGAAAAGCAGAACGACGGUGGAAGAGGACAGGUUUGAUUGUUCAUUGCGAAUAUUUUAAAGAACUUCUCGAGUCAUACAACAAAGCUGCCUGGUCUUCUUUCUUCAGCAUGCCAAAAUAAGAAUAAUCCUAAGGUUUUGUUUGAUACCAUCUCCAGCAUUGUUUCUUCUCCUCCUCAGCAGGCUCGGCUAUCUUCAGCUGAUGAUUGUAACAUAUUUCUCCACUUUUUUUGCAAACAAGGUGUUGAAUCUAAGAUCUAGCAUUCCACCAGCUCCCCCCAUCAGCGAGGAGGCCCCUCAGUGCUCCGAGUCUUUCGCCUCCUUCCAAAUCACACUAAAUGACAUCGGUUUCCAUCAAGCCCCCACAACGCUGCUCAAAAAUUGAGGCCAACCCGGAAGUACCAAAAAUUGCAGGGGACAUAGAAGGGGGACAUAGAAGGGGGUGCGCGGCUAAAUAAGUUUGGGAACCACUGCACUAGAGGGUUUUUUUUCACACUACAAAUGUAUUUAAAUAGCGAGUGAAUGAGAGCUUUGAAUUAAACUUUUUUUACCUUGCCACCUUGUGUUGUCUCAAUUUUGAUGCAGUUUUGAGCCAGACUGUAACACGUGGGGGCUCAUCUGGGAUCAGAAAUUUCCUGCUGGGGGAGCCCCUGGCUACAUUGGAAUAGCUACAGCUCCUACAGCCAGUUGGAGUUACAACAAACUUAUUUCAAUUGUAAUCUAAUGUGAAAAGUUUAUAAAAUGUCGUUUACAUGAACCAUCUGAUGCAUAGCAUACUAGGCAUGUUCUAGACAUGCAGCAGCUGGAAAUUAGUUCCACACAGCUGGUCCCACAAGACUGCAAAAUCACAGGAGAAUAGCAAUAUCACUAAUGAUUUUGCCAUUUCACAUUAUAACAAGCAAGGAGAACGACAGCAGCAUGUAUCCGAAAGACAUGCGUUAUUUUUACUUUCGCCAAAGAGGUCUCACAGGCAAUGGUAUUUUUUAAGGGUGGGUUUUUAAUGCAUGAAUUAAAAUUAAUUAAUUAGAAUAAAAUAAGUUGUUAAAAAAUUUAACACUUGAGUCCAAGCGCUCUAGCCUGACAAGCCAUCCUAUACAGUAUAUGUGAAUAUAGUCUGGCCACAAUCCAUAAACGGCUCACAGUCGUGAGACCGGGUUGACGGGUCAAGCUUGUGCGUAAUCAUAUGCGCUUUCUAAGCGGAAGAGGAUGUGAGAUUCUGGGAUUCUCCUCAGCCAGGCUCCUGGAUGUGUCGCCACAUUGGAGACAGGAACAAGCACUAUUCAGCCAAAGUUUCGUAAUCAGGGAACAUUUUCUAAGUGACAAGUCUCACUUCAGUCGGAGGAAUCUUCCUGCAUGCGCUCUGGUUCUGCAACGCGCUCCAAGCCCCUCUCCACAUCUUCAGCUCGCUGUACACCUUACGUACACGCUGACAGUGAGCUGCGCUGAGCAGUGUCCAGCUCAGAUGUUCAGAUGGGAAUCUUUUCUGGAGUGAUUUAGCUACAUCUGCGAUGUGCGAAACGAAUAAAAUGUCAGUUCGUCUGCAUGCGUCGGGGUAAUUCUUUCUAUUCUUUCUCCAUCAAAAUAAUUGGUCAAAUACGGGAACUGUCCGGUCAACACAAGCCCUGCUUUUAACUGUUCUGUUUUCUUGUGAAAAUUGUUGCAAAGAGAUAUAAUUUAACGUGAUUAACACCAGAGUCAGGAGCACUGCGCCAUUAUCUCCGUCACUGUAAAUGAGGGAAAAACAAAUUGAUCGGAUCCUUUUCUGACCUUCCCCACCAACAAAGUUUAAUUACAACAAUCAAACGUGACAGAGCCUGGAUUUGUAUUCUGAACAGUCUAAACAUGUUUUAAAAAGAAACGUAUGCCAAAAGUGGCACCUGCUCAGUAAAACCACCAACAGGGUGAAAAAUAUCAAAAUAUUGUAGGCAGAGACGGGCUACAACUUCUGGAUCCACUUUAUAUAAAUCAUUUUAUUGAUUAUUGUCUUAUGAAAGAUAACUUUGACGUACACGAGCGACCGGUACUGGCUGCUGUCACCUGUUGUGAGCAGCUCUCUGCUGUCUGAGGCUAGGCCCCGCCCACAACGCUGCGGCUGGUGUGGCUCCCAGUGUGGCUCUUUGAUGGGAACAGGUUGCUGACCCCUGCUGUAAGGCUUGUUACCAGCAUUCAAACAUCAAUUCUGUUUGCUUCACAGCCAGACAGGACACGGUAAAAAUAAAUGA
This is a non-coding RNA of Nothobranchius furzeri (turquoise killifish), 5168 nucleotides long. Lineage: Eukaryota; Metazoa; Chordata; Actinopteri; Cyprinodontiformes; Nothobranchiidae. The record is from RefSeq and is a predicted model, not a curated record.